Molecule: long non-coding RNA, 479 nt
Organism: Apis dorsata (giant honeybee)
Lineage: Eukaryota; Metazoa; Arthropoda; Insecta; Hymenoptera; Apidae
Exons: 2
Source: RefSeq, a predicted model, not a curated record
UCGAUUGGUGGACAUUCUGGCAUUAAUUUUUCGAGAGAUGACUUUGAAGAUCACCUGGUGGCUGUAAUGACACUUGAGAGUCAACGAAAGUGGCAAUUAGGCAAAUGCAAUGAAAAGCAAAGAUCAAUUUCAUUUUGAAAUUGUAGAACCAAAAAAAAGAUAGGAAGGAUACAAAAAUUUAAAUUAAAUUUAGAGAGACUGUGCACGACCUAAAUGAUUAUAAAACCAUAAAUCAUUAAAAGUACCAAAAGAUUACGCAGAAUUGGUUAUGGGAAUUUCUGUACAAAAAUGGCAACAGGAAAAACAUGAGAAAAGAGGUUAAGAUAUAUCUACUUUCAAUUAGAAAUAAUUAUAAUAAUUACAACCAUGUGUAAUUUAAGCAAGCGUCAGUAUUAUCAUGAGUAAAAAUUUUUCACAUAAAAUUUUCUACCAAAUACAUAUUUAAAUCCCAAUGAUUUUAACUCAUCCUUAAUUAAAGA